UAAUACGGAGGGUGCAAGCGUUAAUCGGAAUUACUGGGCGUAAAGCGCACGCAGGCGGUUUGUUAAGUCAGAUGUGAAAUCCCCGAGCUUAACUUGGGAACUGCAUUUGAAACUGGCAAGCUAGAGUCUUGUAGAGGGGGGUAGAAUUCCAGGUGUAGCGGUGAAAUGCGUAGAGAUCUGGAGGAAUACCGGUGGCGAAGGCGGCCCCCUGGACAAAGACUGACGCUCAGGUGCGAAAGCGUUGGGAGCAAACAGGAUUAGAUACCCUGGUAGUCCACGCUGUAAACGAUGUCGACUUGGAGGUUGUGCCCUUGAGGCUUGGCUUCCGGAGCUAACGCGUUAAGUCGACCGCCUGGGGAGUACGGCCGCAAGGUUAAA
This 378-nucleotide ribosomal RNA is filed under the name uncultured bacterium. RNAcentral's name for it is "bacterial SSU rRNA". It matches the Rfam family "Bacterial small subunit ribosomal RNA", at positions 521 to 898 of the family's 1533-position model. The record is from RNAcentral.